Molecule: ribosomal RNA, 640 nt
Filed under: uncultured Vagococcus sp.
Lineage: Bacteria; Bacillati; Bacillota; Bacilli; Lactobacillales; Enterococcaceae
Description: bacterial SSU rRNA
Rfam family: Bacterial small subunit ribosomal RNA
Source: RNAcentral
CGCCCUUAGAGUUUGAUCAUGGCUCAGGACGAACGCUGGCGGCGUGCCUAAUACAUGCAAGUCGAACGCAGCUUGCUUUGGUAAGAUGAGUGGCGAACGGGUGAGUAACACGUGGGUAACCUGCCUAUCAGAGGGGGAUAACACUUGGAAACAGGUGCUAAUACCGCAUAGAUUUCUUUCGCAUGAAAAGAGAGGAAAGACGUACGUGUCACUGAUAGAUGGACCCGCGGUGCAUUAGCUAGUUGGUGAGGUAACGGCUCACCAAGGCCAUGAUGCAUAGCCGACCUGAGAGGGUGAUCGGCCACACUGGGACUGAGACACGGCCCAGACUCCUACGGGAGGCAGCAGUAGGGAAUCUUCGGCAAUGGACGAAAGUCUGACCGAGCAACGCCGCGUGAGUGAAGAAGGUUUUCGGAUCGUAAAACUCUGUUGUUAGAGAAGAAUAGGUAGGAGUGACUUCCUGCCAUGACGGUAUCUAACCAGAAAGCCACGGCUAACUACGUGCCAGCAGCCGCGGUAAUACGUAGGUGGCAAGCGUUGUCCGGAUUUAUUGGGCGUAAAGCGAGCGCAGGCGUUUCUUAAGUCUGAUGUGAAGCCCCCGGCUUAACCGGGAGGGUCAUUGGAAACUGGGAGACUUGAG